Notechis scutatus (mainland tiger snake) is the source of this 455-nucleotide non-coding RNA. NCBI's taxonomy places the organism in Eukaryota, Metazoa, Chordata, Lepidosauria, Squamata, Elapidae. The record is from RefSeq and is a predicted model, not a curated record.
GCAAUCCACUGUGCCACACGAAACAGCUGAGCUUGAAAAGCAGAAAAUAAAGGUAUGGCAAUAGGCAAAGGACUUACCUACUCAAACCACCAAAACAUAUUAAGAGAUAUUAAUAUUGACCACAGGCAGUCUGAACAUAAACAACAUCAAUGACUUACUACAUAUCGUCAUACCCUUUAGGAUGGUGGAGGAAUGGAUGUCAUCGAGUGGGGGAAAAGCUACUAUAGAUAUCAGCAUUCUGCUUAGUAAACUGCAAGUGCAGAAAACAUGAGUGCCUCAGGAAGGACCAUUGCUACUGUCUCUGACUACAGGUCAACAAUCAGAAGCACCUGAAGAUAACUGCUCUUAAAACCAACCUACUUUCUCCUUUAAUCCAAGAUUCAAGAUCAAAUGUGAAUCAAUUUUCAGGCACAUAGUUGGAACAGAAAAAUGAUUAUCCCUAAUAUAAUUUGCUU